GUGCUGGCUUAGACAGCACAUAUACUAAAAUUGGAAGAACAUAGAGAAGAUUAGCAUGGCCCCUGCGAAAAGAUGACACACAAAUUUGUGAAAUGUUCCAUAUUUUU
Molecule: small nuclear RNA, 107 nt
Organism: Arvicola amphibius (Eurasian water vole)
Lineage: Eukaryota; Metazoa; Chordata; Mammalia; Rodentia; Cricetidae
Source: RefSeq, a predicted model, not a curated record